Molecule: ribosomal RNA, 233 nt
Filed under: uncultured bacterium
Lineage: Bacteria
Description: partial 16S ribosomal RNA
Rfam family: Bacterial small subunit ribosomal RNA
Source: RNAcentral
GAUCAUGGCUCAGGAUGAACGCUAGCUACAGGCUUAACACAUGCAAGUCGAGGGGAAACGACAUCGAAAGCUUGCUUUUGAUGGGCGUCGACCGGCGCACGGGUGAGUAACGCGUAUCCAACCUGCCCAUCACUUGGGAAUAACCUUGCGAAAGUAAGACUAAUACCCAAUGAUAUCCCACGAAGGCAUCCGAAUGGGAUUAAAGAUUUAUCGGUGAUGGAUGGGGGAUGCGU